Molecule: ribosomal RNA, 245 nt
Filed under: uncultured bacterium
Lineage: Bacteria
Description: partial 16S ribosomal RNA
Rfam family: Bacterial small subunit ribosomal RNA
Source: RNAcentral
CAGCCUACGGGGGGCAGUAGGGAAUCUUCCACAAUGGACGAAAGUCUGAUGGAGCAACGCCGCGUGAGUAAAGAAGGGUUUCGGCUCGUAAAGCUCUGUUGGUAGUGAAGAAAGAUAGAGGGAGUAACUGGCCUUUAUUUGACGGUAAUUACUUAGAAAGUCACGGCUAACUACGUGCCAGCAGCCGCGGUAAUACGUAGGUGGCAAGCGUUGUCCGGUGUUAUUGGGGGUAAAGCGAGUGCAGG